AUUGAAACACCAGUUCUUGUACGAUCACAGAAGUUAAGCAACAUUGAGCCUGGUCAUUAACUAGAUGGGUGACCACUUGGGAAUAUCAGGUGCUGUAAG
This 99-nucleotide ribosomal RNA is filed under the name Acanthosepion pharaonis. The record is from RNAcentral. Lineage: Eukaryota; Metazoa; Mollusca; Cephalopoda; Sepiida; Sepiidae.